Pelobates cultripes (western spadefoot toad) is the source of this 208-nucleotide non-coding RNA. NCBI's taxonomy places the organism in Eukaryota, Metazoa, Chordata, Amphibia, Anura, Pelobatidae. The record is from the annotation of a GenBank genome assembly.
AAAUUUUCCUCAUAGAGAUGCACUGAUUCAAUAUUAAGAGGUCCUGAUUGGCCAAAAGGUGAGUUUUAAACUUUUAUAGAGGGGCUAAGGGGGACAAGCCACCUAAAUAGUGGGUUUAGCACUAUAGGGUCAGGAAAACAUGUUUGUGUCCCUAUAGUGUUCCUUUAAUUAAAACGAUCAGCUUUAAUCACAAAUUGAAAAGAUGCCG